Molecule: transfer RNA, 77 nt
Filed under: Aquisalimonas asiatica
Lineage: Bacteria; Pseudomonadati; Pseudomonadota; Gammaproteobacteria; Chromatiales; Ectothiorhodospiraceae
Also listed under: 3 other names
Description: tRNA_Arg_ACG
Rfam family: tRNA
About the family: Transfer RNA (tRNA) molecules are approximately 80 nucleotides in length. Their secondary structure includes four short double-helical elements and three loops (D, anti-codon, and T loops). Further hydrogen bonds mediate the characteristic L-shaped molecular structure. tRNAs have two regions of fundamental functional importance: the anti-codon, which is responsible for specific mRNA codon recognition, and the 3' end, to which the tRNAs corresponding amino acid is attached (by aminoacyl-tRNA synthetases). tRNAs cope with the degeneracy of the genetic code in two manners: having more than one tRNA (with a specific anti-codon) for a particular amino acid; and 'wobble' base-pairing, i.e. permitting non-standard base-pairing at the 3rd anti-codon position.
Source: RNAcentral
GCGCCCGUAGCUCAGCUGGAUAGAGCACCUGGCUACGAACCAGGCGGUCGGAGGUUCGAAUCCUUCCGGGCGCGCCA